This is a long non-coding RNA of Octopus bimaculoides (California two-spot octopus), 284 nucleotides long. Lineage: Eukaryota; Metazoa; Mollusca; Cephalopoda; Octopoda; Octopodidae. The record is from RefSeq and is a predicted model, not a curated record.
CGAUGCGCAAACCUCUUACACGUGAAAGCAGAUUCUCUCAGCCAAUCAGCAGAAGCUGUCGACACCGGAACGCUAUGCAUGCGUGCGGUAGAGUCGAAUAACUUCACCAGAUGUCUCCAGCAGAGCGCAACACACUGCCAACUUACCACUUCCAUUUCCAAGAUCAGCUGGAAUUCAUCAAACCACGAAAUACAGAGUCUUUGUGAUUCGGUGUGUCCGAAUUUUCUGGAGAGAGUGAUCAACGUAACGCGAUGCAGCCAUGAUAUUGUAACCAACCCAAAUAU